GGGGAAUCUUCCACAUUGAACGGAAGUCUGAUGGGGCACCGCCGGGGGGGGGUUAAAGGUUUUGGGUUCGAAAACCUCGGUGGUAGGGAAAGAACCGUUAGGUCGGGAAUGGAAGGAACCUUGCGGGUCCUUAUUUGGAAAGCCAGGGCAAACUAGUGGCCAGCAGCCGCGGUAAUACGUAGGUGGCAAGCGUUGUCCGGAAUUAUUGGGCGUAAAGCGCGCGCAGGUGGUUUCUUAAGUCUGAUGUGAAAGCCCACGGCUUAACCGUGGAGGGUCAUUGGAAACUGGGAGACUUGAGUGCAGAAGAGGAAAGUGGAAUUCCAAGUGUAGCGGUGAAAUGCGUAGAGAUUUGGAGGAACACCAGUGGCGAAGGCGACUUUCUGGUCUGCAACUGACGCUGAGGCGCGAAAGCAUGGGGAGCAAACA
RNAcentral lists this ribosomal RNA (426 nucleotides) under uncultured Rummeliibacillus sp. RNAcentral's name for it is "bacterial SSU rRNA". It matches the Rfam family "Bacterial small subunit ribosomal RNA", at positions 356 to 774 of the family's 1533-position model. Lineage: Bacteria; Bacillati; Bacillota; Bacilli; Caryophanales; Caryophanaceae. The record is from RNAcentral.